RNAcentral lists this ribosomal RNA (458 nucleotides) under uncultured bacterium. RNAcentral describes it as "partial 16S ribosomal RNA". It matches the Rfam family "Bacterial small subunit ribosomal RNA", at positions 338 to 795 of the family's 1533-position model. The record is from RNAcentral.
CCUACGGGUGGCAGCAGUGAGGAAUAUUGGUCAAUGGGCGAGAGCCUGAACCAGCCAAGUCGCGUGAGGGAGUACUGCCCUAUGGGUUGUAAACCUCUUUUGUCGUGGAGCAAAAGCGGGACGUGUCCGGCUGUGAGAGUACCCGAAGAAAAAGCAUCGGCUUACUCCUUUCCAGCAGCCGCGGUAAUACGGAGGAUGCGAGCAGUAUCCGGAUUUUUUGGGUUUUAAGGGGGCGCAGGCGGAUUUUUAAGUCAUCGGUAAAAUCGUGGGGCACAACCCCAUCGAGCCGUUGAAACUGGGGAUCUAGAGUGUGCGAGAGGUAUGCGGAAUGCGUGGUGUAGCGGUGAAAUGCAUAGAUAUCACGCAGAACCCCGAUUGCGAAGGCAGCAUACCGGUGCACAACUGACGCUCAGGCACGAAAGCGUGGGUAUCGAACAGGAUUAGAUACCCUGGUAGUC